CCCAGGUCAGGCGGGGCUACCCGCUGAAUU
This 30-nucleotide ribosomal RNA is filed under the name Silene nutans. RNAcentral describes it as "partial 26S ribosomal RNA". The record is from RNAcentral. Lineage: Eukaryota; Viridiplantae; Streptophyta; Magnoliopsida; Caryophyllales; Caryophyllaceae.